This 483-nucleotide ribosomal RNA is filed under the name uncultured bacterium. RNAcentral's name for it is "partial 16S ribosomal RNA". It matches the Rfam family "Bacterial small subunit ribosomal RNA", at positions 29 to 523 of the family's 1533-position model. The record is from RNAcentral.
AGUGAACGCUGGCGGCGUGCUUAACACAUGCAAGUCGAACGAGAAACGGAUUUAGCUUGCUAAAUUGCAGUCUAAGUGGCGCACGGGUGAGUAAUGUAUAGGUAAUAUGCCUCUUACUAAGGGAUAACAAUUGGAAACGAUUGCUAAUACCUUAUAUGCCUUUAAUACGAAAGUAUGCAAGGGAAAGAUUUAUUGGUAAGAGAUUAGCCUGUAUGGUAUCAGCUUGUUGGUGAGGUAAUGGCUCACCAAGGCUAUGACGCCUAACUGGUUUGAGAGGAUGAUCAGUCACACUGGAACUGAGACACGGUCCAGACUCCUACGGGAGGCGGCAGUGGGGAAUAUUGCACAAUGGACGAAAGUCCGAUGCAGCAACGCCGCGUGGAGGAUGACACAUUUCGGUGCGUAAACUCCUUUUAUAUAGGAAGAUAAUGACGGUACUAUAUGAAUAAGCACCGGCUAACUCCGUGCCAGCAGCCGCGGUAA